GGACUACACGGGUUUCUAAUCCUGUUUGAUACCCACGCUUUCGUGCCUCAGCGUCAGUUACAGUUUAGUAAGCUGCCUUCGCAAUCGGUGUUCUGUGGUAUAUCUAUGCAUUUCACCGCUACACACCACAUUCCGCCUACCUCAAAUGUACUCAAGACUAACAGUAUCAACGGCAAUUCUACAGUUAAGCUGCAGGAUUUCACCACUGACUUACUAGUCCGCCUACGCACCCUUUAAACCCAAUAAAUCCGGAUAACGCUCGGAUCCUCCGUAUUACCGCGGCGGCUGGCAC
RNAcentral lists this unclassified non-coding RNA (292 nucleotides) under uncultured fungus. RNAcentral describes it as "sequence contains ITS1". The record is from RNAcentral. Lineage: Eukaryota; Fungi.